UACGAAGGGGGCUAGCGUUGCUCGGAAUCACUGGGCGUAAAGCGCUCGUAGGCGGAUUGUUAAGUCGGGGGUGAAAUCCUGGAGCUCAACUCCAGAACUGCCUUCGAUACUGGCAAUCUUGAGUCCGGGAGAGGUGAGUGGAACUCCGAGUGUAGAGGUGAAAUUCGUAGAUAUUCGGAAGAACACCAGUGGCGAAGGCGGCUCACUGGCCCGGUACUGACGCUGAAGUGCGAAAGCGUGGGGAGCAAACAGG
RNAcentral lists this ribosomal RNA (253 nucleotides) under uncultured bacterium. Its description in RNAcentral is "partial 16S ribosomal RNA". It matches the Rfam family "Bacterial small subunit ribosomal RNA", at positions 524 to 776 of the family's 1533-position model. The record is from RNAcentral.